This is a long non-coding RNA of Macaca mulatta (Rhesus monkey), 1484 nucleotides long. RefSeq lists it as uncharacterized. The record is from RefSeq and is a predicted model, not a curated record. NCBI's taxonomy places the organism in Eukaryota, Metazoa, Chordata, Mammalia, Primates, Cercopithecidae.
CGAGCAGCUCCAACCUAGACUGUCGAAUCAAGAAGGUCGUCCUGGAGGAAAUGAUUUUUGCCUAGUGUUCUGUGAUGAAUCUAUGAUCACUAUGACCAUCAUAGAUCACCAUGAUCUAUAUUAAAGAGCAAAUAGGCAAAAUCGAGAUGGGAAGGAGAAUUCCAGGCAAAGAGAAUCCAGGAGAAGAGGAGUGUGGCUGGAACAUGCAGGUUCACUGGAGCACUGCAAAUUAGACUGACAAAAGACAGAUUAUCGGGAGAAAAAAAUACAAAGAAGCUAAUAGGCUGAAGGGUUUAUAUACCAUUUUAAACAAAGAAUGAUAAACUGUGGAGACUUGACAGGAAAAAAAAAAGGGUUUGAGGCUUUCCAGAGCAGUCCACUACGGGAAGAUCUCACUCUGGAUGAUUAAACACCAAUACCACCAACCUGAGUAGGCCUUCCAGGAAAUACCGGGGACACUAAGAAGCCACACCCACUGAACCAUUCUAUGGUCACUCAGCAUUUGAAGCAAAUUGGAAAGGUGAAAAAGCUCGAUAAGUGGGUGCUUCAUGAGCUGACCGAAAGUAAAAAAAAAAUUGUCAUUUUGAAGUGUCAUCUUCUCUUACUCUAUGCAACAACAAUGAACCACUUCUUGAUUGGAUUGUGAUGUGCGAGGAAAAGUGGAUUUUAUGUAACAACUGGUGAUGACCAGCUCAGUGGUUGGACCAAGAAGAAGCUCCAAAGCACUUCCCAAAGCCAAACUUGCAUCAAAAAAAGGUCAUGGUCACUGCUUGGUGGUCUGCUGCCAGUCUGAUCCACUACAGCUUUCCGAAUGCCUGGGAAACCAUUACGGCUGAGAAGUAUGCUCAGCAAACCAAUGAGAUGCACGGAAAACUGCAGUGCCUGCAGCCGGCAUUGGUCACCAGGAAGGGCCCAAUUCUUCCCCACUGCAAUGUCCGACUGCACAUCACAACCAACGCUUCAGAAGUUGAACAAAUUGGGCUACGAAGUCUUGCCUCAUCUCCCAUAUUCACCUGACCUCUUGCCAGCCGACUACCAUUUCUUCAAGCAUCUCAACAACUUUUUGCAGGGAAAAUGCUUCCACAACCAGCAGGAUGCAGAAAAUGCUUUCCAAAAGUUUGUUGAAUCCCGAAGCAUGGAUUUUUAUGCUACAGGAGUAAACUUAUUUCUCAUUGGCAAAAAUGUAUUGAUUGUAAAGUUUUCUUUUUUGAUUAAAGAUGUGUUUGAGCCUAGUUAUAAUGAUUUAAAGUUCACGGUCCAAAACCGCAAGUACUUUUUGCACCAGCGAGAUGUGUGUAUGAGAGGCUUAUUUCACCCAGCCUCUUUUCCAGUCAUCUGUAGAAUUAUUUCAAGCACAGGAGGGACCCUACUUCAUAUUGGGGAGGAUUAAGGAAGACUUCCUGGAGGAUUGUCUCAGAGCUUGCUGCAGGUGCAUAUUGAAAAGCAAUUCAUUACAAUUUUCUAUAAGAGACUGUGGCUGAACA